This 429-nucleotide ribosomal RNA is filed under the name Bacteroidota bacterium. RNAcentral's name for it is "Bacteroidetes bacterium partial 16S ribosomal RNA". It matches the Rfam family "Bacterial small subunit ribosomal RNA", at positions 355 to 776 of the family's 1533-position model. The record is from RNAcentral. Lineage: Bacteria; Pseudomonadati; Bacteroidota.
UAGGGAAUCUUCGGCAAUGGGGGGAACCCUGACCGAGCAACGCCGCGUGAGUGAAGAAGGUUUUCGGAUCGUAAAGCUCUGUUGUUAAGGAAGAACGAGUGUGAGAAUGGAAAGUUCAUGCUGUGACGGUACUUAACCAGAAAGGGACGGCUAACUACGUGCCAGCAGCCGCGGUAAUACGUAGGUCCCGAGCGUUGUCCGGAUUUAUUGGGCGUAAAGCGAGCGCAGGCGGUUAGAAAAGUCUGAAGUGAAAGGCAGUGGCUCAACCAUUGUAGGAUUUAGAAACUGUUUAACUUGAGUGCAGAAGGGGAGAGUGGAAUUCCAUGUGUAGCGGUGAAAUGCGUAGAUAUAUGGAGGAACACCGGUGGCGAAAGCGGCUCUCUGGUCUGUAACUGACGCUGAGGCUCGAAAGCGUGGGGAGCGAACAGG